CCCUUAGAUGUUCUGGGCCGCACGCGCGCCACACUGAUGCAUUCAACGAGUCUAAAACCUGCUCUGAUAGGGGUGGGUAAUCUUUUGAAUGUGCAUCGUGAUUGGGAUAGAUGAUUGCAAUUUUUCAUCUUCAACGAGGAAUGCCUAGUAAACGCAAGUCAUCAGCUUGCAUUGAUUACGUCCCUGCCCUUUGUACACACCGCCCGUCGCUCCUACCGAUUGAAUGAUCCGAUGAAUAUCAUGGAUUGAGGAUGCAAGCAGGUUCGCCUGUCUUCAUCUUCGAGAAGUGAAGUAAAUCUUAUCAUUUAGAGGAAGGAGAAGUCGUAACA
This 329-nucleotide ribosomal RNA is filed under the name uncultured eukaryote. Its description in RNAcentral is "partial 18S ribosomal RNA". It matches the Rfam family "Eukaryotic small subunit ribosomal RNA", at positions 1470 to 1796 of the family's 1831-position model. The record is from RNAcentral.